Molecule: ribosomal RNA, 2904 nt
Filed under: Klebsiella oxytoca
Lineage: Bacteria; Pseudomonadati; Pseudomonadota; Gammaproteobacteria; Enterobacterales; Enterobacteriaceae
Description: 23S ribosomal RNA
Rfam family: Bacterial large subunit ribosomal RNA
Source: RNAcentral
UUAAGCGACUAAGCGUACACGGUGGAUGCCCUGGCAGUCAGAGGCGAUGAAGGACGUGCUAAUCUGCGAAAAGCGUCGGUAAGGUGAUAUGAACCGUUACAGCCGGCGAUGUCCGAAUGGGGAAACCCAGUGCAAUUCGUUGCACUAUCGUUAACUGAAUACAUAGGUUAACGAGGCGAACCGGGGGAACUGAAACAUCUAAGUACCCCGAGGAAAAGAAAUCAACCGAGAUUCCCCCAGUAGCGGCGAGCGAACGGGGAGCAGCCCGGAGUCUGAAUCAGCUUGUGUGUUAGUGGAAGCGUCUGGAAAGUCGCAGGGUACAGGGUGAUACUCCCGUACACUAAAACGCACAGGCUGUGAACUCGAAGAGUAGGGCGGGACACGUGGUAUCCUGUCUGAAUAUGGGGGGACCAUCCUCCAAGGCUAAAUACUCCUGACUGACCGAUAGUGAACCAGUACCGUGAGGGAAAGGCGAAAAGAACCCCGGCGAGGGGAGUGAAAAAGAACCUGAAACCGUGUACGUACAAGCAGUAGGAGCCCACUAGUUGGGUGACUGCGUACCUUUUGUAUAAUGGGUCAGCGACUUAUAUUCUGUAGCAAGGUUAACCGAAUAGGGGAGCCGCAGGGAAACCGAGUCUUAACUGGGCGUUAAGUUGCAGGGUAUAGACCCGAAACCCGGUGAUCUAGCCAUGGGCAGGUUGAAGGUUGGGUAACACUAACUGGAGGACCGAACCGACUAAUGUUGAAAAAUUAGCGGAUGACUUGUGGCUGGGGGUGAAAGGCCAAUCAAACCGGGAGAUAGCUGGUUCUCCCCGAAAGCUAUUUAGGUAGCGCCUCGUGAAUUCAUCUUCGGGGGUAGAGCACUGUUUCGGCUAGGGGGUCAUCCCGACUUACCAACCCGAUGCAAACUACGAAUACCGAAGAAUGUUAUCACGGGAGACACACGGCGGGUGCUAACGUCCGUCGUGAAGAGGGAAACAACCCAGACCGCCAGCUAAGGUCCCAAAGUCAUGGUUAAGUGGGAAACGAUGUGGGAAGGCCCAGACAGCCAGGAUGUUGGCUUAGAAGCAGCCAUCAUUUAAAGAAAGCGUAAUAGCUCACUGGUCGAGUCGGCCUGCGCGGAAGAUGUAACGGGGCUAAACCAUGCACCGAAGCUGCGGCAGCGACACUAUGUGUUGUUGGGUAGGGGAGCGUUCUGUAAGCCGUUGAAGGUGGCCUGUGAGGGUUGCUGGAGGUAUCAGAAGUGCGAAUGCUGACAUAAGUAACGAUAAUGCGGGUGAAAAACCCGCACGCCGGAAGACCAAGGGUUCCUGUCCAACGUUAAUCGGGGCAGGGUGAGUCGACCCCUAAGGCGAGGCCGAAAGGCGUAGUCGAUGGGAAACAGGUUAAUAUUCCUGUACUUGGUGUUACUGCGAAGGGGGGACGGAGAAGGCUAUGUUGGCCGGGCGACGGUUGUCCCGGUUUAAGCAUGUAGGCGGAUGUUCCAGGUAAAUCCGGAACGUUACUAACGCUGAGGUGUGAUGACGAGGCACUACGGUGCUGAAGUGACAAAUGCCCUGCUUCCAGGAAAAGCCUCUAAGCAUCAGGUAACAUCAAAUCGUACCCCAAACCGACACAGGUGGUCAGGUAGAGAAUACCAAGGCGCUUGAGAGAACUCGGGUGAAGGAACUAGGCAAAAUGGUGCCGUAACUUCGGGAGAAGGCACGCUGAUGGUAAGUGAAGUGACUUGCUCAUGGAGCUGAAAUCAGUCGAAGAUACCAGCUGGCUGCAACUGUUUAUUAAAAACACAGCACUGUGCAAACACGAAAGUGGACGUAUACGGUGUGACGCCUGCCCGGUGCCGGAAGGUUAAUUGAUGGGGUUAUCCUCACGGAGAAGCUCUUGAUCGAAGCCCCGGUAAACGGCGGCCGUAACUAUAACGGUCCUAAGGUAGCGAAAUUCCUUGUCGGGUAAGUUCCGACCUGCACGAAUGGCGUAAUGAUGGCCAGGCUGUCUCCACCCGAGACUCAGUGAAAUUGAACUCGCUGUGAAGAUGCAGUGUACCCGCGGCAAGACGGAAAGACCCCGUGAACCUUUACUAUAGCUUGACACUGAACACUGGUCCUUGAUGUGUAGGAUAGGUGGGAGGCUUUGAAGUGUGGACGCCAGUCUGCAUGGAGCCAUCCUUGAAAUACCACCCUUUAAUGGCUGGUGUUCUAACGUGGGCCCCUAAUCGGGGUUGCGGACAGUGUCUGGUGGGUAGUUUGACUGGGGCGGUCUCCUCCUAAAGAGUAACGGAGGAGCACGAAGGUCAGCUAAUCCUGGUCGGACAUCAGGAGGUUAGUGCAAUGGCAUAAGCUGGCUUGACUGCGAGCGUGACGGCGCGAGCAGGUGCGAAAGCAGGUCAUAGUGAUCCGGUGGUUCUGAAUGGAAGGGCCAUCGCUCAACGGAUAAAAGGUACUCCGGGGAUAACAGGCUGAUACCGCCCAAGAGUUCAUAUCGACGGCGGUGUUUGGCACCUCGAUGUCGGCUCAUCACAUCCUGGGGCUGAAGUAGGUCCCAAGGGUAUGGCUGUUCGCCAUUUAAAGUGGUACGCGAGCUGGGUUUAGAACGUCGUGAGACAGUUCGGUCCCUAUCUGCCGUGGGCGCUGGAGAAUUGAGGGGGGCUGCUCCUAGUACGAGAGGACCGGAGUGGACGCAUCACUGGUGUUCGGGUUGUCAUGCCAAUGGCAUUGCCCGGUAGCUAAAUGCGGAAGAGAUAAGUGCUGAAAGCAUCUAAGCACGAAACUUGCCCCGAGAUGAGUUCUCCCUGACCCUUUAAGGGUCCUGAAGGAACGUUGAAGACGACGACGUUGAUAGGCCGGGUGUGUAAGCGCAGCGAUGCGUUGAGCUAACCGGUACUAAUGAACCGUGAGGCUUAACCUU